Molecule: long non-coding RNA, 548 nt
Organism: Hordeum vulgare subsp. vulgare (domesticated barley)
Lineage: Eukaryota; Viridiplantae; Streptophyta; Magnoliopsida; Poales; Poaceae
Exons: 2
Source: RefSeq, a predicted model, not a curated record
CGUCUUGUGUUGGUUUAGAAAGGAGAUCACACAUACAUACUACUGUAGUAGAUAUUACCUGAUCGAUCGAUAUGGCGUGCUACCAGCUGGAGAAUAGUGGCAGAAGACUGUCCAAGGUGUUGAUAUGCAUGUGGCUGCUGACGCUAUUUGCCCGGUCAUCUGAUGCAGAAGAGGUGGAAGGCUGUGAGUUCAAUCGGUGGAGCAAGACGUGGAGCAACAAGAUAUGCGUGGCGCGUGGAACUUGCAACACGCCGUGCAGAGCAGAGGGCUGGGAAAAGGGCGCCUGCUUCUUCAUCAAUCACUGCCUCUGCUACAAGAACUGCUCCCCGUCCCCGGCCCCGGUCUCGGCUAGCUAGUGAUUCGUGUAUGUACUCGCUAUUGUGAGGCAAAUUCAUCUUGCCUUUGUUCAGCAUGUAUGUAUGGCUUAAGACAAGAGUAAGUGGUCUUAUAUAGAUGCAGGGCAGGGCAGGGCAGGGCAGGGCAGGGCGUUGUGACUGCAUACAAUCUUUUUUUUGCAUAAUGAAUAAAGUUGGGGCAGUAUUCAUCAA